This is a non-coding RNA of Anas platyrhynchos (mallard), 9891 nucleotides long. The record is from RefSeq and is a predicted model, not a curated record. Lineage: Eukaryota; Metazoa; Chordata; Aves; Anseriformes; Anatidae.
UGUUGUUUUCUGCCUUUUUUUUUUUUCUUACAAUCUUUUAGCUAUAUUCUUGGGAUUUUUUCCCUUGUGCAUUUUUUUAGCACACUGCAUGCAUUUGACAAAGUCAAACUGAGAGCUUGAGAUAAGUAUUUAAAGUAACAAAAUGAAUUCCCUCUUUUAUCUUUCAGACUUUGUGUAAUGACUGGAAAACAAAAAGAAAAAAAAAAAAGAAAAGGAGAAAAGAAAAGCAGGUGAAACAUUUUAAAUGAAGUGUAGAACCAUAAGGAAUAUACACGUAUGUAUCAUUUUCUGAUCAUCAUAACGUCAGCUGGGUGAAAGACUUUGGAGUGGUUUACUUCUGAAGAAUCACUUGCCUGGAUUUCAGCAGCGGUUUCUGGGAAGAGCCUGUAAUAAUGCAUUUGCUGAAACCCCUGUGUAAUCAGAGGGAGGACCUUGUUUUGGUGUACUGUGAAGAAGAAAACAAGACCAAACAAAAGCAAACAGUACUGAGCACCAGGUCCUCAGUGUUUGGUGGGCAUCAUUUAACAAUUUUACAGACAUCUGUGUCUCAGCCUUCAGCCUGCAACACAUCUUCUGUAACCUGAGAAUUUAUCAGCUGGCUUUGAUAGCCCAAUAGCCCUCGGUAGGAGAUUUUCCCAGUGCAGGACUGCUCCAACUGUGCCCAGACCAUGCAGGGUGAUGGCUUCUGGUCAGCAGAGGAGGACCUGGACAUGCUCAUGCUACAAUGCUGUUGCCAGCCCUGCAGCUCACAGUGUUCAGCUCAGAGUGGGGCUGCCACUCGCCCUGGCAGCCUCUUGCUCCAGCUUUGAAGCAGCGGUGGCAAGAGGCUUCAAAAAGAUGAGUGCCGCAGCCACGAGCAGGGGAACGGCUCAGUAAGUGAUUGGUGGAAUAGGAAUAUUUAUUGAUUUAAGAGCAUUCUUUUCUUUUGCAUUGCCUUUGUCUUCUAAGGCAACUUUCUUUUAAAUUUAUGUCCCACAUUGUCACAUCAGGAGGAAAAUACAUGAGAAAUGUUUUGUUAUUUCAAAUUUAUUGCAUAUUACGUCAGCUGGCAUUGUGGACUCACAAUAUGUAAUGCUUCAUAAAUUAUGAAAAAUAAAUGUUUUAUGGGCUUACUAUGCACUCUGUUUGAAAACCGUUGAGCUGGGGAGACUCACUGACCCCCGUACAAAUUAAUGCGCACAUUAUUUUCAUUAUUACAGUUCAUAUGGGAAGUUUGAAUAUCUUUAUUUAUUUCUUUAAAGGAAAACGAAGACAGAAGUUGCUUGAAUCCAGUUAGCUUUUCUGGCAAGAAGCAGGUAUCAUUUCACCCAGCUCAUAACCUAUUACUUCCCUCACAGUCAUUGUUAUUCCAGGCCAAAGCUUAAACUCAAAAUCAAAACUGCAACGACUUAGCACACUCUUCCAAAGGUCAAAUCCUGCAGUCCUUCACCAGGAAAACUAAACCUCUACCUUGGUAGGAUUUUGUCUACACAAGGACUGCGGCGUUUGCAGAAAGCUAGGAAAGCACAAAUCAGUCUCCGUCAGCAGGGAAGGCUGUAAAAGAGAUUUCUACUCAACUUUCCAGCUCUGCUUUCCCUGAGUGCGAUGAGGAGCAGCAAUCAGACUAGUGCUGUGCAGCUCAGCCAUCAAGGGCCCCACCAGCAGCAAAAAGCUAAAUCUCAAGGCACCAGAGAUCUUAAACCUUAUCGAACACGGCAGUCUUCAGCUCCAAGCUGCAGGAAUUGGAGGGAAACUUCAUCUGCCUGCAUGGGAAAAUGUGUUGUCCCAUUUUCUGAGGAGCAAAAGUUCACUCCAACAUGUGGUGCAUGGGAGGUGUGUGUGUUUGGGGGUAGAGGGCAUGGUGACGUUAGGUACAAGGAAUGGUGAAGCACUCUCAGCUGCUUUUUUUAUUAUUUUUAUUUUCCCCCUUGCACCCAAAUAUUUCUGCUCCUUGCAAAAAGAGGUCAGGUGUUGUAACUCUCCCUGGAUGGUUUUCGUACAGCCCAGAUCCACCGCUGUGUUUCUAAUAAAGCCACCAAGAGCAUAACCAGGAGCUCCCUGCAUGGGCUUACGCGAUGUAAGCCGCUGCUUCAGAGGACUCCCUUAACUUGGGGCUGGAUGGACUGAAAAACCUUCCAAGUUAUUUUCUCCUAAUUCAAGUCAGCUGAGGCAUCGAAAUGUUGGGCAGAUGGACAAGAUCUUUGGCUGGAGCCAUCCUGUUUGCUGCUGCUGCUAGGGCUAUUGCAGUCAACACUUAGAGAUUUUACUUUAUUUAUUUAAACUUCAAUGAGUUUUUCAGAACAUUAGCCUUCACAUAAGCAUGUCAAAGGAGACUCCUGUGUGCUUUUUAGUGCAAGAGCCCAUGCUCUCAGGACCACAAAUUGCAAUAAAGUGGAUUAAACCGAGACCACUACCCAUUCACCCCAAAAUAGUUUCGUUCUCUCUCCCUCUUUCCUUCCAUAGUGCUAGGAAGAAAUAUUAGAUUUAAAUGUUGUGGUUAAACGACAGUCAUCAUUACGGCCACUUGGCCAGGACACAGUGAAAAUUAUUUUCUUGGCAACUGUAUUUUCUCAGAAUUGUUAACUCCAGUCGUGCUAACCCCGGGGACUCUUUGUGCUGGGGAGAUGCAGGAGAACAAACAAAAUGAACAAAGUACACCCCAAGUUUGUACUUUCAUUUCUUUCAUUUUUUUUUCCCAGUGAUUUUUUUUUUUUUUUAAAUUUAUUUAUUUAUUUAUUCAGUGAAAAGGAAACCUGCUUUUGCCUUUCUCAUCCAGUGGAGGGCAGUUGAGUUCCACGGUAAAGAACGAAGCAAAAUUGCACCACGGUGUAAAACUCUCAAGGAAGCAAGCAAUGAUUGAAAUUAACUGUUCUUUGCCUGCGUGAAAUAUCACUUAGGAAUACCUGAAGAAUUAAAAAGGAGGAAAUGGAAAGCUUUUCAAUUUAAACUGCUUUUUAAACCACUUUGUUAGUAGAGCAGGAGCAGAUCUAAAAGUUUUCUUCAGCAGUUGAAGAAAAAAAGACACAUCCAUAUACAGAAGUUUCAAGGGUUUCUAUUUUAUAUGUUAAUCAGAAUUUCCAGAAUAUGGAUAUUAAUGAAUAAAGUUCCUGAUAUUCCUUUUGCUUUCUGACCCCAACAGUCUUUAAGUUUUAACUCUGUACUCAUAAUUUCAGCACGAGGAACAUUUUUUAAAGGCAAAUUAUCCUUUCUUGAUAUUUCAGCUGUACCAGAAAGAAUAAGAUAAAUCUCAGGAACUGGGAUUGCAAGGUAAAUUUAGCCAUUGCUGAAACUGUGACCAGUUUUGAAAUGUUCCCCUAAACGAAAAGUUUAAAGCAAACAUUCCAAUCAGAAACAGAAACCUUACCAUGUUGCUCUUAAAAACUGGUCUCCUCAAACUCCUCCAGUUUAUAGCAUGGACCCUUGGGCUAUUGCAGUCUAGAAAAAUCUGAAAUAAAAACCACACUGUUUUCUGGGUCUGAUCAUGCAUCACUCCUUUAAAAAAAAAAAAAAAAAAAAAAAAGCCUCCCAAGAAAUACAAGGUUUAGGUCUUCUUUACAUGUGGUGUUCUUUUUAAAGAAAACAGUCUAGUGUGUCCUUAUUGAAAAGACAUUAUUUUAGGUGCAUUCAUUUUAAAGGGAGUCACAGGUCGUUAAAAACAGAAAGCUUUAAAAAUGUUUGCAGUUGCACAUAAGUAUUAUUAUGGUCAGCAUUCUAGUUAUUUUUCACAUUAUCAGGGUUAUUUACUUCUCAGAUUUUAUUUGCUUCCCAUCGCUAGUCUCAUGCUGCUGUAGUAGAAGAUCAGGCACAAAUAAGUGCUUACACUGAAAAUUAAGUUUCUGUAAGUAACUAUUUUAAAAUGGUUGCUUUUAUGUUUACUGCUGAAGGAUCUCAAGAACUCCUGCCAGAAAGGAAAGUAUUUAUUAUCUCUCUUUUACAGAUGAGGAAACUGAGACACUGUGAAAUUAAAAGCUUGGGGAAAUUAGUACACAGUAAAUUACGGUGUGAAUUUACUGUGUACUACCCACCCUGCACGAACUCAUCAUGUGGACUGGCGAAGAAAAAAGAUUAAAUUCCUUUAAAUUAUCUCACGUUUGCCAUGGACAGACAGCUACCAUGGGUCAGCUGACGUGCAGCAACUUCGUAACCCGCAGCGAGCCAUUCACACAGUGAAUCCCCUCGGAGGACAGGGACAGAGUCAUGGGGCGUUGUGCUGAGCAGCUCAUCCCCUGCAACUUCACGCAAGAGUUUAUUAGUCGCUAAUUUCCCCAGAUGGCCAGAUCCUAAGGGGGUUUACCUAAAAAUCACAAAGGAAAUCUCUGGCAGAACUCAAAGUAAGACCCAAGCAUCCUUGCAGCCUUGAAAUCUGAAGCUGUGAGUUAAAAGUAAAAAUAGCAGGAGGAAAUAAGUGUUGUUUGCUUUGAAGGACGGACUGACUGCAGGGUGUUUCUAGGGCAUGUAUGAGUUAAACCAGUGUGUUAGAGCAGUGAGAUCAGAAGGUGAGUCCUGGCACUUGAAAACCACCCUGAUGUCUCGCAGUUUGGGGUGUUAAAGCUGCUUCCAGCAGUCACACAGCCUAGAAAACCUGCAGAAGUUUGUUCUGCAAAGCCACAUGGCAUCUGUCUGUCCUGGGAGUCCCACCGGGCACCUCCUGCAGCCCUCCAGCUGGGUCAGGUCUGUGUGUGUGUGAGAGAGCAGGGCACCCAGCCUGCACAGUGACCUCCUUGCCAAGUGCCCUUAACCCUCGACAGUGCCACUUCUGGGAAGCAGGGCGGCUAGACACAACCGCCGUGGCUCUGCCCUGCCCUGGUAGGGACCUCUGGGCUUGGGAGGCCCCUGGCGAGGCUCUGGGAGCAACCUCCUCGCUCCACAGCACGCUGAAGGGCUGAUGUUGAAACAGCUUUGGCAGGAGCACUCCCCAUUGUUGCCGACCCCAGCCGGCGAGAUGAGGCAUCAGCGGCCUACUAGCUGAGAGAAAGAAGCAAUCUGCUGUGUCCCUGCAUGACAUGACUCUGCUGAAUGAAUUAAGAGGUCACGGUGACUUUUGGAGCAAUGGUCACUGCUGGAGUUGGAGGAGGUUUGGGUUUCUGCAUGAAAACGUGCAGUUAUGUGCAGAAAUGAGCAAGAGGGAGCAGCACAGGAUCUACCACGAAGAUCUCCCAGGCUACUGGUCUACACGAGGAGGAGAGGAAGGCCACACACGAGGGAGGCUGCAAAGGAGAAAGACUGGGAUGCCCAACAAAGGAAAUUUCAGCUGCCAAGAGUCCCAUCAGGCACGUUAUAACUUGUGAUGAUUUGGGAUUCAGUAACACCUACAGAACAGGCCCAUUAGCAGGAUGUUGUGCAAUAUGGUGCUUGUCAUCUGUUUCAAAGACACAGUGAUGAGAUACAGAGAAAAGACAAUAGAGGUUCCCAGACUCAGAAAGGAAUGUCGGCAGAAGGGGAUUUUUUUUUUUUUCAUGAGACUGGUACAUCAGCAAGAAAAGUUUUCUUCCUGGGGAGAAAUAUAAGCAAACGUCAAGACAAGAGGAGUCAGCGUGACCCGUGCAAUGCUCUCCUUUCCUUGACAUGCUCGAGAAUCAGAUAUCUCACAGUAAUUGCACUUAGCAUGGAUGCCAUGGGGGAGGGAAUAUGGAAAGCCAGAAGGUAAAGAAAGGACUUCUGAGGGAUCUGGAUGAGUUAAAACUGGAGACUCCUCUGCACAUGUGAAAGAUUGAAGAUGUAAAAUAAGCAGCAGAAGGAAAGGAAGAGAAGAACAAGUCAAAGUCCAGGUCCAGGGUGACAAGAAACAUUCCCAGCAUGGAAGCAGUUGGAUCUUGUCUCUCCAGAGGGAGCAAGGAGGGACCUGGAAGCUACAGAGAUGGGAUUGCAGAAGAUGUGGUCCUUGUUCUCCGCUCCACCCAUAUGAAGCAAAAGCUAGAGAGUAAGGCUUGGAAAAGUAGGAUUCUGGCACCAUAGAAGCAGUGUCCUCCAAACUUUGGGGCUGUACCUAUAAGCUGGGGAUGAAAUCUACCUCCAGGAAUUGCAGUGACCUAACCCUGUGCUCCCCAAGCACCCUCAUACUCAACACAUUGCCCAGCUUGUGCCCAGACACACGCAGAGCCUGAGAAAGGGGAAGUCCUCCAGGAUGAAACACAAGGAGCUUCUGUUGAUGAGCCUGUAGGACCUUAAAGCUCCCUGGGUGUCUGCUUGCAGUGCCUUGGCUGCAUAGGAACCAUUCACCUACUUACCAGCGAUGAAGUCAGGAAAGAAUUUUUCCCUACAUCUGAUCACAAAGGCUGCUGGGGCUGCUUUUGUCUUCUGUGGUUUAAGGCUCAGUUUUCACCCUGGACAUGUUUACAGAAACGUUCCCUGCAGUUGUUGGGACCUGAGAUGUCAGCACGGCUCCUGACUACUCCUGUGGCAAACAUCCCCUGCCUGGCAAAUUGGGAAAUUUGCCCUCCUUAAUGGGAGCUGCACUAUCUGAUUGCUGCCUGAUGAAGUAGUAGCUCGGCGAGGCCACCUCUAUGCCGAACAAUCCCAUACAUCAGAGGCCAUCCAUUUGAAUUCAAUGGCUUUACUGGUGCUAAGAGAGGAUAUUGGAAACCUGGUCUUAAAUCACGCUUUUCAGUACCUUCUGUAAUAUAGUCUUCAACAGAAGCUAUGGAUGAAAUAUGCUUCUAGACCGAAGGCAUUCCAGCUUUGAACAUCAAGAUUAUUCUUAUAGUCAAGAGUUGGACUUGAUGAUCCUUAAGACGCCCUUCCAACUCAGGAUAUUCUAUGAUUCUAUGAUUCUUCACUUUGUAAUACAUGAGAUCCACAGCAUAUGAAUAUUGGUCUUGUAGAUCAUCAUAUUAUCAAGGAAUCUUAUGUGCCUCAAAGCUAAAUAAAAUAAGAUAUCUUUGGGAUAACAGAGAACAGCAAACAACAUGUGAUCCAAAAGGAAGUAGCAGCACUAGCAACAAGACUGACACUCAGCACCGGUGGUGAUGCAGGCUGAAUACUUUCUUGAGAAAAUCAGGAUGCCUGUAUGGAAGGAGCAGGACAAGCGUUCAUGCACAAUUCCCAUCCUUGCGGCAGCAGAGAAGAAAAUACAUGUAUGCUGAGGAUCGGAAUCAAGGGAAUCCAGUGCAAUUAAUGCAGUUGGGCUUUACAGCAAUACUGCAGAGAGCAGAAUCUGGCCUCUUCAAAAUGUAGUACAGGUUAAGGGUGUCCACCGCCGACAUUUCCUGAGCAAGCACAGCAAAAGAAGAGUUGCUAAAGCUAACCCAAUUUUAAGUGGCUCAACCUCUUCAACCUAUUUCAGUAAAUCAAGAGCUUCUGCAGAAAUAUUGCCCCUUUCCCCUCUCCAACCCUGUACCAUGCUGAGGAGGAUCCAGACCUUAGGAAGGCUGUAAAGUGCCUCUGCUAUUUCUUCUCUCCCCACACACCACUUUACUGUUUUUGUUUGUUUGUUUGUCUGUUUGUUUGUUUGUUUUUGGUUUUGUGAAUUCCUGAAGUUCCCAGUUCCCAGUUUUAGAUGGCCCUGAGGGCAGAAACACUGAAAUCCCCUACAGCUUGAAUGGUGACCAAAGAUGGUAGUGGAGGCUUCUUGUCUGCUUCUCCUUGGAAAGCUCCAACCUAGCACAUACACAAGAAUCAACAUAAUUAGUUCAGAACAAAACGUUGUUUUUUUUUACACUUUGAGGUGUACACCUCACUGAUCCUUCUGGAUGCAUCCCUGUUCCAUUGAAAGUAAAUUACAGCACAAAGACUCAGUUACAAGAAGUCUGCGAGACUUGGCACAUGCCAUGGUCAGAUGGCAGGUUCUCCUGCCAGUCUGCAGCCCCCGAGGUAAACAGAGAUCAAUACCAGCCUGGUAGGAGGAGUUUCUGGGGACUUUAUUUUAUUAAUAGUGAUUCUAUUCUUUCAUUUUGGUAGGCUACCACAAAGGGAAAAAAAAAAUAAUCUGGCUUUAUAUCUUGAGGGUUCAAGACAGUAUUGGAUUUUUUUUCCUGUAAAUGUGAAAUUUUGUAGAUGGAGCCUCCAUAUAUAUACACACACACAUAUACAUAUAUGCUGAAAUAAGCUUUCAGUAAGGGUUAUUUUAUUUGACAGUGGCCUUAAAAGGAUAAAGAAGGUGCCAAGGUGGCUAUAUUACAAAAGGAAAUAUGCCAUAAGGAGGUUAAAAACAAAACAAAAAUCAAAAACAAAACAGCUCUCCCUCUCCAGAGAACUGGAAAAGAAAGAGACACAAAGCACUGACUGUGGGUCUGUCCUUCCCAAAGCAUCUCUGUUUGCCAACAUAUUUAUAUUACAGAAGCAAGUGCUCUCAUCUUUUCCCAGCUGGGGAUUCUCCAUCUCUCCAGGCCUGUUCGUUUCCAUUUAGUCACAGAUGGAAAGAUGGGCUAGAGGUAUUUAAUACCUUUUGUAAUUUUCUAGGAAGGACUAGAAGGCACAAGUACUCUUUUUCAGAAACAGGCUCUACAGCAGCGGUUAGUUUGCAGACUGUGAACAGUGAGGGAUGCUUUAAGAAAUAAUAAUUAAUCCAUUAAAAAAAAAAAAGAAUAAAAUCUGAAUCUCAGCAACUAAAAUCCACAUGUUGAUGUGGGGGAGCAUUUUCUUCAAGAAGAAUAAAUCCUGUAUUUUAAUACUGACCUCUUUGAAUUUUUCAUUUUUACUGUUAUGGCAACUGAUGUUUUUCCUUUAGAAAUAUCAGCAAUUCAAGCCAUAGUUCCCUUUUCCUUCCUGGGUCCUCCAUAUCACUGGAUUAUUCUCCCCAAAAAAGAACUGUAGUAAAUGGUCUGUGCUCCCACUGUACCCUUAGAAAUGAGGCAGUCUAAUAUCACACACAGUGUACACAGUGCCUACCUGGGCACUAGAGUAGCUCUCCCAGUCAAAGAGAUGGAUUUUUGGCAGGAAGUGGGACUUCUCCAGGUGCAAUCACAGCUGUUUGAGUUAGAUUUUAUUGUGUAAGCAUUACCACAACCCAACUCUUUGUUGUGUGUAUGAAGCUCAAUGCCAAGACAGUUAUUAAAAAACAAAACAAAACAAAAAGACAAAAAAAAAAUUAAGGUACUGUCCUACUUUAUACCCUAUAUAACCCUACAUUAAAUCCUAUGUUCAUAAUUUUAUCUCCAUUGGCUAAAGGUUGAGGAACACCCAAGACCAUAAGAAGUUGUACUAAUCAGACCUGGUUCCUGAUUUCUCAUUUUGCAGAGCAUAUGAGCUCAAGUCCUUUCUUACUCAUCACUCACGAACAUUUGAAGGCUGGAGCAAUUCAUAGGAAACCAGGAAGGAGGCAGACGGCCCAGUUGUCUUCCCAUGAUACUGAAUGGCUGAUGUUAUGGACUUCUCAGUUUCCAGAUUCUAUCAGAAUUGAAACACUUCAAAUAAGCAUACAAUUUUUGCAUGGGCUGGACUUGGAAUUUGUAAAGUAGAUUCAUCUACUGAGUCUCCUUGACUCUUGAGACCUCUUCAUUUCAUUAAAGCUUGUUUUCUCUACUGAUGUCUUCUUCAAAGAGUCUUUUACUCCAUCUUGUGAUUAUGCUAGAUCUACUGCCCUUGAAAACAGCUGGGUUACCACUGGACAAAAGGGAAAGCCACCCCAUUUUGAAUGAAGGCUCAUUAAAACUUUUAGGUACCAGAUCCUUUGCAGAGAUGUCUUGCAAGCUGGGGAUGAUACUCACACGUAGACAGAUGUCUCCUAGGACCUGGGCUGGCACCAUCAAUUUAUUUCAUGUUGACCACAAAAUGACCAUCACCUUAUAAAGACUUUCAUUACUAGUGACUGGCAAACCUCUGGAGGUUUGCUUGGGACAAAUACCAAUUCAGCUGCCAAACGUUAUCUGAACUAUCUGAACCUCUCAUGUCUAAAAAAAUUGGGCUGGAAAGCUCAUCAGAUAAGGAUUUACCCUGUGAUUGACUGUAGUUAUUGCAUCCAGAUGGGCUAGCAUU